RNAcentral lists this ribosomal RNA (494 nucleotides) under uncultured bacterium. RNAcentral describes it as "bacterial SSU rRNA". It matches the Rfam family "Bacterial small subunit ribosomal RNA", at positions 28 to 524 of the family's 1533-position model. The record is from RNAcentral.
GACGAACGCUGGCGGCGUGCCUAAUGCAUGCAAGUCGAGCGGGCUACUAUCUUCGGAUAGUAGCUUAGCGGCGAACGGGUGAGUAACACGUAGGUAAUCUACCCUUCAGAGGAGGACAACCUCAGGAAACUGAGGCUAAACCUUCAUACGUUCAUGUGCAGGGAUGCAUAUGAAGAAAGAGUUACCGUAGAGGUAGCUGCUGAAGGAUGAGCCUGCGGCCCAUCAGGUAGUUGGUGAGGUAACGGCUCACCAAGCCGAAGACGGGUAACCGGUCUGAGAGGAUGUCCGGUCACACUGGGACUGAGACACGGCCCAGACUCCUACGGGAGGCAGCAGCAGGGAAUCUUGGGCAAUGGGCGAAAGCCUGAUGCAGCGACGCCGCGUGAGCGAAGAAGGCCUUCGGGUUGUAAAGCUCUGUCUGGAGGGACGAACAAAAUAGACGGUACCUCCGGAGGAAGGCCACGGCUAACUAACGUGCCAGCAGCCGCGGUAAA